AUUGAACGCUGGCGGCAUGCUUUACACAUGCAAGUCGAACGGUAACAGGUUAAGCUGACGAGUGGCGAACGGGUGAGUAAUGCAUCGGAACGUGCCCGAUCGUGGGGGAUAACACUUCGAAAGAAGUGCUAAUACCGCAUACGAUCUGAGGACGAAAGCGGGGGACCGUAAGGCCUCGCGCGAUCGGAGCGGCCGAUGUUAGAUUAGGUAGUUGGUGGGGUAAAGGCUCACCAAGCCGACGAUCUGUAGCUGGUCUGAGAGGACGACCAGCCAGACUGGGACUGAGACACGGCCCAGACUCCUACGGGAGGCAGCAGUGGGGAAUUUUGGACAAUGGGCGCAAGCCUGAUCCAGCAAUGCCGCGUGCAGGAAGAAGGCCUUCGGGUUGUAAACUGCUUUUGUACGGAGCGAAAAGGCUCCCUCUAAUACAGGGGGCUCAUGACGGUACCGUAAGAAUAAGCACCGGCUAACUACGUGCCAGCCGCCGCGGUAA
RNAcentral lists this ribosomal RNA (493 nucleotides) under uncultured bacterium. RNAcentral's name for it is "partial 16S ribosomal RNA". It matches the Rfam family "Bacterial small subunit ribosomal RNA", at positions 30 to 523 of the family's 1533-position model. The record is from RNAcentral.